RNAcentral lists this ribosomal RNA (914 nucleotides) under Acinetobacter sp. RNAcentral describes it as "bacterial SSU rRNA". It matches the Rfam family "Bacterial small subunit ribosomal RNA", at positions 56 to 965 of the family's 1533-position model. The record is from RNAcentral. Lineage: Bacteria; Pseudomonadati; Pseudomonadota; Gammaproteobacteria; Moraxellales; Moraxellaceae.
UGCAGUCGAGCGGGGAAAAGUAGCUUGCUACUUUACCUAGCGGCGGACGGGUGAGUAAUGCUUAGGAAUCUGCCUAUUAGUGGGGGACAACAUUUCGAAAGGAAUGCUAAUACCGCAUACGUCCUACGGGAGAAAGCAGGGGACCUUCGGGCCUUGCGCUAAUAGAUGAGCCUAAGUCGGAUUAGCUAGUUGGUGGGGUAAAGGCCUACCAAGGCGACGAUCUGUAGCGGGUCUGAGAGGAUGAUCCGCCACACUGGGACUGAGACACGGCCCAGACUCCUACGGGAGGCAGCAGUGGGGAAUAUUGGACAAUGGGGGCAACCCUGAUCCAGCCAUGCCGCGUGUGUGAAGAAGGCCUUUUGGUUGUAAAGCACUUUAAGCGAGGAGGAGGCUCCCAGUAUUAAUACUACUGGAGAGUGGACGUUACUCGCAGAAUAAGCACCGGCUAACUCUGUGCCAGCAGCCGCGGUAAUACAGAGGGUGCAAGCGUUAAUCGGAUUUACUGGGCGUAAAGCGUGCGUAGGUGGCCAAUUAAGUCAAAUGUGAAAUCCCCGAGCUUAACUUGGGAAUUGCAUUCGAUACUGGUUGGCUAGAGUAUGGGAGAGGAUGGUAGAAUUCCAGGUGUAGCGGUGAAAUGCGUAGAGAUCUGGAGGAAUACCGAUGGCGAAGGCAGCCAUCUGGCCUAAUACUGACACUGAGGUACGAAAGCAUGGGGAGCAAACAGGAUUAGAUACCCUGGUAGUCCAUGCCGUAAACGAUGUCUACUAGCCGUUGGGGUCUUUGAGACUUUAGUGGCGCAGCUAACGCGAUAAGUAGACCGCCUGGGGAGUACGGUCGCAAGACUAAAACUCAAAUGAAUUGACGGGGGCCCGCACAAGCGGUGGAGCAUGUGGUUUAAUUCGAUGCAACGCGAA